Molecule: ribosomal RNA, 133 nt
Filed under: Chitinophagaceae bacterium
Lineage: Bacteria; Pseudomonadati; Bacteroidota; Chitinophagia; Chitinophagales; Chitinophagaceae
Description: partial 16S ribosomal RNA
Rfam family: Bacterial small subunit ribosomal RNA
Source: RNAcentral
ACAAUGGAGAGUUUGAUCCUGGCUCAGGAUGAACGCUAGCGGCAGGCUUAACACAUGCAAGUCGUGGGGCAGCGCGGGGUAGCAAUACUCUGGCGGCGACCGGCAAACGGGUGCGGAACACGUACGCAACCUU